This 215-nucleotide small nucleolar RNA is filed under the name Carlito syrichta (Philippine tarsier). RNAcentral's name for it is "Small nucleolar RNA U3 (ENSTSYG00000021733.2)". It matches the Rfam family "Small nucleolar RNA U3". From Rfam's summary of the family: Small nucleolar RNAs (snoRNAs) are involved in the processing and modification of rRNA in the nucleolus. There are two main classes of snoRNAs: the box C/D class, and the box H/ACA class. The record is from Rfam by way of RNAcentral. Lineage: Eukaryota; Metazoa; Chordata; Mammalia; Primates; Tarsiidae.
AAGACUUACUUUCAGGGAUCAUUUCUAUAGUUUGUUACUAGAGAAGUUUCUCUGAUUAUGUAGAGCACCAGAAACCACGAGGAGGAGGCACAGCGUCCUUUCCUGAGCGUGAAGCCAACUUUUGGUGUUGCUUCGCUGCAACUGCCAUUUGCCAUUGUUGAUAGUUCUUGCUUUCCUUCAGGGGAGCAAGAGGGAGAGGAAGCAGUUUGAGUGGU